GACGAACGCUGGCGGCGCGCCUAACACAUGCAAGUCGAGCGAGAACCGGGCCUUCGGGCCCGGGGAAAGCGGCGAACGGGUGAGUAACACGUGGGCAACCUGCCCUCGGCACUGGGAUAGCCCGGGGAAACCCGGAUUAAUACCGGAUGGCCUCCGGAGCCUUCGGGCGUCGGAGGAAAGGUGGCUUCGGCAUCCGGCCGAGGAGGGGCCUGCGGCGGAUUAGCUUGUUGGUGGGGUAACGGCCCACCAAGGCGA
Molecule: ribosomal RNA, 255 nt
Filed under: uncultured Actinomycetes bacterium
Lineage: Bacteria; Bacillati; Actinomycetota; Actinomycetes
Description: uncultured actinobacterium partial 16S ribosomal RNA
Rfam family: Bacterial small subunit ribosomal RNA
Source: RNAcentral